GGCGACUGAAGCGGGAAGAGCCCAUGUUGCCAAACCUUCGGGUGUUGUGGCAUACGUGUCUUGUGGAACUCCAGGAGUAAGUCCCUUGGAAUAGGGUGCCAGAGAGGGUGACAGUCCCGUCUGCCUCUUGGGUGUUCCACUUGUAGACCGUGUAACGGAGUCGUGUUGCUUGGGAUUGCAGCACAAAGUUGGUGGUAAAUUCCAUCAAAGGCUAAAUACGGGUGGGAGACCGAUAGCGAACAAGUACUGUGAAGGAAAGAUGAAAAGAACUUUGAAAAGAGAGUUAAAGAGUGCCUGAAAUUGCUGAGAGGGAACCGAAGGUCAUCAGUGAUGGUUAUAUGCAUAUUGUCGAUAUUCUAUCUUGAAUGUUGGUUUGUGCAUGUAUUUGCCAACUCAUUGUUGUUAUUAAUCGAAGGAAAGUUUAUCGCUUUGGAUAAUACCAAGAAUGAGAAAAUGAUGCUCUUUAUCCCGUCUUGAAACACGGACCAAGGAGUCUAACACAAAUGCGAGUAUUGAGGUGACAAACCUCAGUGCGUAAUGAAAGUGAUGAUUGGAUGCUUCGGCUGCACCAUCGACCGACCACUUCGCUAAGGCGUCGAGGUUUGAGUGGGAGCAUUUGUGCUGGGACCCGAAAGAUGGUGAACUAUGCCUGAAUAGGGCGAAGCCAGGGGAAACUCUGGUGGAGGCUCGUAGGGGUUCUGACGUGCAAAUCGAUCUUCAAAUUUGGGUAUAGGGGCGAAAGACUAAUCGAACCAUCUAGUAGCUGGUUUUCUCCGAAAUUUCCCUCAGGAUAGCUGCAAUCGGUUGUCAGUUUUAUCAGGUAAAGCGAAUGAUUAGAGGCCUCAGGGGUGGAACGUCCUUGACCUAUUCUCAAACUUUAAAUGGGUAAGAGCCUUGUGUUGCUUGAUCGAACACAAGCGUUGAAUGACGGUUGUUAGUGGGCCAUUCCGGGUAAGCUGGACUGGCGAUGCGGGAUGAUCCGAACGUCGAGUUAAAGUGCCUCACUGCCCGCUCACCUAGAUCCCACAAAAGGUGUUGG
RNAcentral lists this ribosomal RNA (1039 nucleotides) under Pteridomonas danica. RNAcentral's name for it is "eukaryotic LSU rRNA". It matches the Rfam family "Eukaryotic large subunit ribosomal RNA", at positions 88 to 1227 of the family's 3401-position model. The record is from RNAcentral. Lineage: Eukaryota; Dictyochophyceae; Pedinellales.